GCCUGGGUGGCUCAGUCGGUUGAGCUUCUGACUUUGGCUCAGGUCAUGAUCUCAUGGUCUGUGAGUUCGAGCCCCGCGUCAGGCU
This 85-nucleotide transfer RNA is filed under the name Felis catus (domestic cat). It matches the Rfam family "tRNA". From Rfam's summary of the family: Transfer RNA (tRNA) molecules are approximately 80 nucleotides in length. Their secondary structure includes four short double-helical elements and three loops (D, anti-codon, and T loops). Further hydrogen bonds mediate the characteristic L-shaped molecular structure. tRNAs have two regions of fundamental functional importance: the anti-codon, which is responsible for specific mRNA codon recognition, and the 3' end, to which the tRNAs corresponding amino acid is attached (by aminoacyl-tRNA synthetases). tRNAs cope with the degeneracy of the genetic code in two manners: having more than one tRNA (with a specific anti-codon) for a particular amino acid; and 'wobble' base-pairing, i.e. permitting non-standard base-pairing at the 3rd anti-codon position. Lineage: Eukaryota; Metazoa; Chordata; Mammalia; Carnivora; Felidae. The record is from Rfam by way of RNAcentral.